This 298-nucleotide ribosomal RNA is filed under the name fungal sp. RNAcentral describes it as "partial 18S ribosomal RNA". It matches the Rfam family "Eukaryotic small subunit ribosomal RNA", at positions 548 to 853 of the family's 1831-position model. The record is from RNAcentral. Lineage: Eukaryota; Fungi.
UUGGAGGGCAAGUCUGGUGCCAGCAGCCGCGGUAAUUCCAGCUCCAAUAGCGUAUAUUAAAGUUGUUGCAGUUAAAAAGCUCGUAGUUGAACCUUGGGUCUGGCUGGCAGGUCCGCCUCACCGCGUGUACUUGUCCGGCCGGGCCUUCCUUCUGGAGAACCUCAUGCCCUUCACUGGGCGUGUUGGGGACCAGGACUUUUACUUUGAAAAAAUUAGAGUGUUCAAAGCAGGCCUUUGCUCGAAUACGUUAGCAUGGAAUAAUAGAAUAGGACGUGCGGUCCUAUUUUGUUGGUUUCUU